ACUAACGCUGGCGGCGUGCCUAAUACAUGCAAGUCGAACGGGAUUCUUUGAUCAGCUUGCUGAGAGAAGGAUCUAGUGGCGGACGGGUGAGUAACGCGUGGGAAUCUGCCUCUUACUGGGGGAUAACAGUGGGAAACUACUGCUAAUACCGCAUAAGAUCUUCGGAUGAAAGGUGCAACUGCACCGGUAAGAGAUGAGCCCGCGUCCCAUUAGCUAGUUGGUGAGGUAAAGGCUCACCAAGGCGACGAUGGGUAGCCGGCCUGAGAGGGUGAACGGCCACACUGGGACUGAGACACGGCCCAGACUCCUACGGGAGGCAGCAGUAGGGAAUCUUCCGCAAUGGGCGCAAGCCUGACGGAGCGACGCCGCGUGAGUGAUGAAGGCCUUCGGGUACGUAAAGCUCUGUUCUUGAGGACGAAUAAGCCAGGGAGUGGAAAGCCCUGGUGAUGACUGUACUCAAGGAAGAAAGCUCCGGCUAACUACGUG
Molecule: ribosomal RNA, 486 nt
Filed under: uncultured bacterium
Lineage: Bacteria
Description: bacterial SSU rRNA
Rfam family: Bacterial small subunit ribosomal RNA
Source: RNAcentral